AGUGAACGCUGGCGGUAGGCCUAACACAUGCAAGUCGAACGGCAGCACAGUAAGAGCUUGCUCUUACGGGUGGCGAGUGGCGGACGGGUGAGGAGUACAUCGGAAUCUACUUUUUCGUGGGGGAUAGUGUAGGGAAACUUACGCUAAUACCGCAUACGAUCUACGGGUGAAAGCAUGGGAUCUUCGGACCUUUCGCGGUUGAAUGAGCCGAUGUCGGACUAGCUAGUUGGCGGGUUAAAGGCCCACCAAGGCGACGAUCCGUAGCUGGUCUGAGAGGAUGAUAAGCCACACUGGAACUGGAACACGGUCCAGACUCCUAAGGGAGGCGGCAGUGGGGAAUAUUGGACAAUGGGCGCAAGCCUGAUCCAGCCAUACCGCGUGGGUGAAGAAGGCCUUCGGGUUGUAAAGCCCUUUUGUUGGGAAAGAAAAGCAGCAGGUUAAUACCCAGCUGUUCUGACGGUACCCAAAGAAUAAGCACCGGCUAACUUCGUG
This 492-nucleotide ribosomal RNA is filed under the name uncultured bacterium. Its description in RNAcentral is "partial 16S ribosomal RNA". It matches the Rfam family "Bacterial small subunit ribosomal RNA", at positions 29 to 507 of the family's 1533-position model. The record is from RNAcentral.